GCCAAAAUCGGACUCAAAUACAGAGGCUGCGCUUGAUUUCCGAUGUCUUAACUUCGAUAUUCCAUUAUAUAUCUAAAAACGAUGUUAUAAUUCUAUAUAUCCGAUGUAGGAAUAAAAUAAAAAAAAAAAAUGACGGAAUAAUUCUCGUUCAGCAUCGAGACGUGAUGAGUAUGUAUCAAGGAAAAUAGAAUUUGUUACAGACUUGUUACAAUAAAAAACAACAUUUGAUACAUGUGAUGAUACAUACAGAAUACAAAA
Molecule: long non-coding RNA, 258 nt
Organism: Pogonomyrmex barbatus (red harvester ant)
Lineage: Eukaryota; Metazoa; Arthropoda; Insecta; Hymenoptera; Formicidae
Source: RefSeq, a predicted model, not a curated record